ACACGACUACAUUAGAUACCCGUGUAGUCCUAGCCGUAAACGAUACUCGCUAGGUGUCGGCCACGGUGCGACCGUUGUCGGUGCCGUAGGGAAGCCGUGAAGCGAGCCACCUGGGAAGUACGGCCGCAAGGCUGAAACUUAAAGGAAUUGGCGGGGGAGCACAACAACAGGUGGAGCUUGCGGUUUAAUUGGAUUCGACGCCGGAAAUCUUACCGGGACCGACAGCAACAUGAAGGCCAAGCUGAAGACCUUGCCGGAUUAGCUG
RNAcentral lists this ribosomal RNA (265 nucleotides) under uncultured archaeon. RNAcentral describes it as "partial 16S ribosomal RNA". It matches the Rfam family "Archaeal small subunit ribosomal RNA", at positions 719 to 982 of the family's 1478-position model. The record is from RNAcentral.